Molecule: ribosomal RNA, 333 nt
Filed under: uncultured bacterium
Lineage: Bacteria
Description: bacterial SSU rRNA
Rfam family: Bacterial small subunit ribosomal RNA
Source: RNAcentral
AGGGUUCGAUUCUGGCUCAGGAUGAACGCUAGCUACAGGCUUAACACAUGCAAGUCGAGGGGCAGCAUGUUGGUUGCUUGCAACCAACGAUGGCGACCGGCGCACGGGUGAGUAACGCGUAUCCAACCUACCCUUGUCCAUCGGAUAACCCGUCGAAAGGCGGCCUAACACGAUAUGCGGUUCACAGCGGGCAUCUAACGUGAACGAAAUGUGAAGGAGAAGGAUGGGGAUGCGUCUGAUUAGCUUGUUGGCGGGGUAACGGCCCACCAAGGCAACGAUCAGUAGGGGUUCUGAGAGGAAGGUCCCCCACAUUGGAACUGAGACACGGUCCAA